RNAcentral lists this ribosomal RNA (171 nucleotides) under uncultured bacterium. Its description in RNAcentral is "partial 16S ribosomal RNA". It matches the Rfam family "Bacterial small subunit ribosomal RNA", at positions 796 to 1041 of the family's 1533-position model. The record is from RNAcentral.
CACGCCGUAAACGUUGGGCACUAGGUGUGGGGUCUUAUCAACGGAUUCCGUGCCGCAGCUAACGCAUUAAGUGCCCCGCCUGGGGNAGGCAACGCGAAGAACCUUACCUGGGCUUGACAUGUACCGAAAAGCCGUAGAGAUACGGUGUCCUUCGGGGCGGUACACAGGUGG